Molecule: ribosomal RNA, 915 nt
Filed under: uncultured archaeon
Lineage: Archaea
Description: bacterial SSU rRNA
Rfam family: Archaeal small subunit ribosomal RNA
Source: RNAcentral
GCUAUCGGGGUGGGACUAAAACAUGCGAGUCGAGCGCUUUCAAGCUAUGUGAAGCGCGCGAACGGCUCAGUAACACGUGGCUAACCUACCCUUUGGACGGGGACAACCCCGGGAAACUGGGGCUAAUCCCCGAUAGAUGAGGAGGCCUGGAAUGGUUUCUCAUCUAAAAGGCGUUUAGACCAUGCUUCUAGGCGUCGCCAAAGGAUGGGGCCGCGGCCGAUCAGGUUGUUGGUGAGGUAACGGCUUACCAAGCCUAUAACCGGUACGGGCCGUGAGAGCGGGAGCCCGGAGAUGGGCACUGAGACAAGGGCCCAGGCCCUACGGGGCGCAGCAGUUGCGAAAACUCCGCAAUGCGCGAAAGCGUGACGGGGCUACCCCGAGUGCCGUCCGCUGAGGACGGCUUUUCCACGGUGUAAGGAGCCGUGGGAAUAAGGAGAGGGCAAGCCUGGUGUCAGCCGCCGCGGUAAAACCAGCUCUCCGAGUGGUGGGGAUGAUUAUUGGGCUUAAAGCGUUCGUAGCCGGCUCAGCAAGUCUUCCGUUAAAUCCAGCGAUCUAAUCGUUGGACUGCGGAAGAUACUGUUGGGCUAGGGGACGGGAGAAGCCGACGGUAUUCUCGGGGUAGGGGCGAAAUCCUAUAAUCCCGGGAGGACCACCAGUGGCGAAGGCGGUCGGCUAGAACGCGCCCGACGGUGAGGGACGAAAGCUGGGGGAGCGAACCGGAUUAGAUACCCGGGUAGUCCCAGCUGUAAACUAUGCGGGCUAGGUGUUGGGGCGGCCACGAGCCGCUUCAGUGCCGCACGGAAGCAAUUAAGCCCGCCGCCUGGGAAGUACGGCCGCAAGGCUGAAACUUAAAGGAAUUGGCGGGGGAGCACCACAAGGCGUGAAGCUUGCGGUUUAAUUGGAGUCAACGCCGGG